This 1359-nucleotide long non-coding RNA is filed under the name Fragaria vesca (wild strawberry). RNAcentral describes it as "long non-coding RNA (FVES_LNC004872)". The record is from RNAcentral. Lineage: Eukaryota; Viridiplantae; Streptophyta; Magnoliopsida; Rosales; Rosaceae.
UAUUUUGCUGCAUCAAAAGAAUAAAUCGCUAGCUACGCUUAACAUAUUACUAAGAUAGCUCCUAUUUAAAGAGGUCAUGAGUUUGACUAACAAAAUAGUUGAUCUCCAUAAUCAAUUAUGUGACAAAUAAUAACAUUAGAAUAUCUCUAUACACACAAAAAAAAAAAUACAUAGUACUAGAAAAUUUAAGGAAAUUACGUUGUCUAGAGUUUCAAAGGUAGUGAACCCAUCUCCGCAAAUGCCCGGUGGAAAGGCUGUUAGGCCAGCAAUUUCAGACAUGGUAGUUUGUGAUGGAGGAGCUGGAGCAGAUUGGGAUGGCAUUGGAUUUAUAGACGAAUAUGCAAAGCUAGCUAGGACAGUACUUAAGCUUCAAGUUUUUGCUGCUGCUAUUUGGUGCACAAUAUUGCUUCUGCAUGGAUUCCCGUAUAUAUAUAGAGAUCAAGCAAAGGAAGGUAAAACAAUGAAUCUCAAACUUCCAUUACACUAAUCAAAGGGUAGGAAAUCAAGAUGUGGAGAAAAUCAAUUCAGGUUUUUCCACAAUCUAGAUGGAAACGUGUUUUUUUUUUUUUUGAGAAUGAAGAUGGAAACGUGUAAGAAAGGCAGCAGUUGGGGUAAAACCUAGAUUGUUCAGGGUGAUACGUGGGGGCGGCCUUUGGAUUUACAGUAAAAUAUUCGACUCAGCAGCCGGUUAUUUUGGAAACUGAUGCCCUAAUUGAUAAUCAUCGAUUGACUAGAGCACGAGAACAGAUCAACAGAACCAAUAGUCUUUCUUCUCAAAAAAGCAAAAAAGAAAAAAGAAAAAAAGAGAACAAAUAGUCUUCAUGGCCGGGGAUCAAAUAGUCUAUGAUGACUUGGGCGGUGUACUUAUCUGACCUGUAGUUUGACUGACCGGGGCAUUCUUCUUAUAGUCUCCGACUAAUAGUGAGAAUUAACGGCUGCUUUUGUCUCUUACCUUCUUUUUGUUUAAUUCUUUGAUCAGACUGUGCGCCGCGCUUUUUCUAAUUUUACAUGUGCAUAUUAAUCUAUCAGCUUGCAUCUCUUCCUCGACCUUUCUUUCAGGAAUAUCUGGGAGCGUAGUUAGUUAAUUCGCUAAUUAUAGGCGCCGCACACGUAUUAGUUUUUUAAAUUAUAAACCUGUGUAUGUAUCCUAAACUAUUUUAAGGAAAAAUACCCUAAUGCCCAAAUAUUUGAAAACUAAAGCCCAUUCCAAUUAAAGUCUUAUCUCAUAGCCCAUUCCAAUGAUUGUUACUAAAAUAACAAUACUACCCAUCAUUAAUUCGUAACUGCCCCCUCCCUCUAAACCCCAAUCGUUGUCGCGCUCUCUCUCCAAGACACCAUAACUGCUCUCUCUCUCUCUCU